This 482-nucleotide ribosomal RNA is filed under the name uncultured bacterium. RNAcentral describes it as "bacterial SSU rRNA". It matches the Rfam family "Bacterial small subunit ribosomal RNA", at positions 32 to 524 of the family's 1533-position model. The record is from RNAcentral.
AAUCAACGCUGGCGGCGUGCCUAACACAUGCAAGUCGAACGCGAAAGCCCGCAAGGGUAAGUAGAGUGGCGCACGGGUGAGUAACACGUGGACAACCUGCCUUCGAGUGGGGAAUAACCUUCCGAAAGGAGGGCUAAUACCGCAUAACACCUCGGGACACAAGUUCUGGGGUUGAAAAGAGCAAUUUGCUCGAAGAGGGGUCCGCGCCUGAUUAGCUAGUUGGUGAGGUAACGGCUCACCAAGGCUUCGAUCAGUAGCCGUCCUGAGAGGGAGCACGGCCACACUGGAACUGAGACACGGUCCAGACUCCUACGGGAGGCAGCAGUGGGGAAUUUUUGGCAAUGGGCGAAAGCCUGACCAAGCAACGCCGCGUGGGUGAUGAAGUAUCUUGGUACCGUAAAACCCUUUCGGCAGGGACGAACCUAAUGACGGUACCUGCGGAAGAACGCCCCGGCUAACUCCGUGCCAGCCGCCGCGGUAAU